This 400-nucleotide ribosomal RNA is filed under the name uncultured bacterium. RNAcentral describes it as "bacterial SSU rRNA". It matches the Rfam family "Bacterial small subunit ribosomal RNA", at positions 522 to 917 of the family's 1533-position model. The record is from RNAcentral.
AAUACGUAGGUGGCAAGGCGUUGUCCGGAUUUAUUGGGCGUAAAGCGAGCGCAGGCGGUUACCUUAAGUCUGAUGUGAAAGCCCACGGCUCAACCGUGGAAGGUCAUUGGAAACUGGGGAACUUGAGUGCAGAAGAGGAGAGUGGAAUUCCAUGUGUAGCGGUGAAAUGCGUAGAUAUAUGGAGGAACACCAGUGGCGAAGGCGACUCUCUGGGUCUGUAACUGACGCUGAGGCUCGAAAGCGUGGGGAGCAAACAGGAUUGGAUACCCUGGUAGUCCACGCCGUAAACGAUGAGUGCUAAGUGUUGGAGGGUUUCCACCCUUCAGUGCUGCAGCUAACGCAUUAAGCACUCCGCCUGGGGAGUACGGCCGCAAGGCUGAAACUCAAAGGAAUUGACGGG